This is a long non-coding RNA of Chelonia mydas (Green sea turtle), 354 nucleotides long. RefSeq lists it as uncharacterized. The record is from RefSeq and is a predicted model, not a curated record. The transcript is spliced from 3 exons. NCBI's taxonomy places the organism in Eukaryota, Metazoa, Chordata, Testudines, Cheloniidae.
GGAAACGGCCGCUCUUGCGGAGGGUUUGACGCCAUGCGUGAGGCGCGCCGAGAUGAUGUCACCACGAGCCUGUUUGGGUCACGUGGGUGAAGAUCGCUGAUGUUUGUUUGUGAGGGGCGCACAGCGAUGAGGCGCUAGUUGGGCGCGCGCCAUGUGGAGCGGCGGCUGUUCGACUGGGCCGUGAGCUCUCUAGGGCAGGGUGUCUCCGUGCCCGGGGGAGCCCAGCUCGAGUUACUGGCGGGUUCUCGGCCGGAGAGGGGCAGCUCGUCCCUGCGGGUGGAGAAGGCGCGAACCACAAAGCGGGUGAUGUACUGUGGCUAUGUGACAUACAUAAUGUGACUGAAAACUCUGAAA